UAGGGAAUUUUGCGCAAUGGGGGAAACCCUGACGCAGCAACACCGCGUGAAUGUUAAGCCCUUCGGGGUGUAAAGUUCUGUCAGUAGGGACGAAUUUUGACUGUACCUACAAAGGAAGCACCGGCUAACUCCGUGCCAGCAGCCGCGGUAAUACGGGGGGUGCAAGCGUUGUCCGGAAUCAUUGGGCGUAAAGCGUUCGUAGGCGGUAUAUCAAGUCUGGUGUUAAAGCCCGGGGCUCAACUCCGGUUCAGCAUCGGAUACUGGUAAACUAGAAUGCGGUAGAGGUAAGGGGAAUUCCUGGUGUAGCGGUGAAAUGCGUAGAUAUCAGGAGGAACACCAGUGGCGAAGGCGGCUUUCUGGACUGUAACUGACGCUGAGGUGCGAAAGCCAGGGGAGCGAACG
This 402-nucleotide ribosomal RNA is filed under the name uncultured bacterium. RNAcentral's name for it is "bacterial SSU rRNA". It matches the Rfam family "Bacterial small subunit ribosomal RNA", at positions 355 to 774 of the family's 1533-position model. The record is from RNAcentral.